RNAcentral lists this ribosomal RNA (555 nucleotides) under uncultured freshwater bacterium. RNAcentral's name for it is "bacterial SSU rRNA". It matches the Rfam family "Bacterial small subunit ribosomal RNA", at positions 8 to 607 of the family's 1533-position model. The record is from RNAcentral.
AGAGUUUGAUCCUGGCUCAGAGCGAACGCUGGCGGAAUGCUUAACACAUGCAAGUCGCACGGGGGCUUCGGCCUUAGUGGCGGACGGGUGAGUAACGCGUAGGAAUGUGUCCGAGGGUGGGGGAUAACGUUGGGAAACUGACGCUAAUACCGCAUAUCUCCUGAGGGAGAAAGCCGUGAGGUGCCCACGGAGCAGCCUGCGUCCGAUUAGCUAGUUGGUUAGGUAAAGGCUGACCAAGGCGACGAUCGGUAGCUGGUCUGAGAGGAUGAUCAGCCACACUGGAACUGAGACACGGUCCAGACUCCUACGGGAGGCAGCAGUGGGGAAUAUUGGACAAUGGGCGCAAGCCUGAUCCAGCAAUUCCGCGUGAGUGAAGAAGGUCUUCGGAUUGUAAAGCCCUUUCGUUGGGGACGAUGAUGACGGUACCCAAAGAAGAAGCCCCGGCUAACUUCGUGCCAGCAGCCGCGGUAAUACGAAGGGGGCUAGCGUUGCUCGGAAUGACUGGGCGUAAAGGGCGCGUAGGCGGCACAACUAGUCAGGCGUGAAAUUCCUGGG